GAUGAACGCUGGCGGCGUGCCUAAUACAUGCAAGUCGAGCGAACGGACGAGAAGCUUGCUUCUCUGAUGUUAGCGGCGGACGGGUGAGUAACACGUGGAUAACCUACCUAUAAGACUGGGAUAACUUCGGGAAACCGGAGCUAAUACCGGAUAAUAUUUUGAACCGCAUGGUUCAAAAGUGAAAGACGGUCUUGCUGUCACUUAUAGAUGGAUCCGCGCUGCAUUAGCUAGUUGGUAAGGUAACGGCUUACCAAGGCAACGAUGCAUAGCCGACCUGAGAGGGUGAUCGGCCACACUGGAACUGAGACACGGUCCAGACUCCUACGGGAGGCAGCAGUAGGGAAUCUUCCGCAAUGGGCGAAAGCCUGACGGAGCAACGCCGCGUGAGUGAUGAAGGUCUUCGGAUCGUAAAACUCUGUUAUUAGGGAAGAACAUAUGUGUAAGUAACUGUGCACAUCUUGACGGUACCUAAUCAUAUAGCCACGGCUUACUACGUGCCAGCAGCCGCGGUAAUACGUAGGUGGCAAGCGUUAUCCGGAAUUAUUGGGCGUAAGCGCGCGUAGGCGGUUUUUUAGUCUGAUGUGAAAGCCCACGGCUCAACCGUGGAGGGUCAUUGGAAACUGGAAAACUUGAGUGCAGAAGAGGAAAGUGGAAUUCCAUGUGUAGCGGUGAAAUGCGCAGAGAUAUGGAGGAACACCAGUGGCGAAGGCGACUUUCUGGUCUGUAACUGACGCUGAUGUGCGAAAGCGUGGGGAUCAAACAGGAUUAGAUACCCUGGUAGUCCACGCCGUAAACGAUGAGUGCUAAGUGUUAGGGGGUUUCCGCCCCUUAGUGCUGCAGCUAACGCAUUAAGCACUCCGCCUGGGGAGUACGACCGCAAGGUUGAAACUCAAAGGAAUUGACGGGGACCCGCACAAGCGGUGGAGCAUGUGGUUUAAUUCGAAGCAACGCGAAGAACCUUACCAAAUCUUGACAUCCUUUGACAACUCUAGAGAUAGAGCCUUCCCCUUCGGGGGACAAAGUGACGGGUGGUGCAUGGUUGUCGUCAGCUCGUGUCGUGAGAUGUUGGGUUAAGUCCCGCAACGAGCGCAACCCUUAAGCUUAGUUGCCAUCAUUAAGUUGGGCACUCUAAGUUGACUGCCGGUGACAAACCGGAGGAAGGUGGGGAUGACGCCAAAUCAUCAUGCCCCUUAUGAUUUGGGCUACACACGUGCUACAAUGGACAAUACAAAGGGCAGCGAAACCGCGAGGUCAAGCAAAUCCCAUAAAGUUGUUCUCAGUUCGGAUUGUAGUCUGCAACUCGACUACAUGAAGCUGGAAUCGCUAGUAAUCGUAGAUCAGCAUGCUACGGUGAAUACGUUCCCGGGUCU
This 1370-nucleotide ribosomal RNA is filed under the name uncultured bacterium. RNAcentral's name for it is "bacterial SSU rRNA". It matches the Rfam family "Bacterial small subunit ribosomal RNA", at positions 28 to 1381 of the family's 1533-position model. The record is from RNAcentral.